UACGGAGGAUGCGAGCGUUAUCCGGAUUUAUUGGGUUUAAAGGGUGCGUAGGCGGAAUAUCAAGUCAGCGGUAAAAAUUCGGGGCUCAACCCCGUCGUGCCGUUGAAACCGAUGUUCUUGAGUGGGCGAGAAGUAUGCGGAAUGCGUGGUGUAGCGGUGAAAUGCAUAGAUAUCACGCAGAACUCCGAUUGCGAAGGCAGCAUACCGGCGCCCAACUGACGCUGAAGCACGAAAGCGUGGGUAUCGAACAGG
RNAcentral lists this ribosomal RNA (252 nucleotides) under uncultured bacterium. RNAcentral describes it as "partial 16S ribosomal RNA". It matches the Rfam family "Bacterial small subunit ribosomal RNA", at positions 524 to 776 of the family's 1533-position model. The record is from RNAcentral.